This 357-nucleotide long non-coding RNA is filed under the name Elaeis guineensis (African oil palm). RNAcentral describes it as "long non-coding RNA (EGUI_LNC000931)". Lineage: Eukaryota; Viridiplantae; Streptophyta; Magnoliopsida; Arecales; Arecaceae. The record is from RNAcentral.
UCAGAGGUAGUUGGAUAUAUUAAAAUUACCAUGAUGGUAGUUUAAAUGACAAAUUUGCCUUUGGUGAUUUACAAUUAACAUAGGGUAUAUUAGAUCAUGCAAUCUAGGGGCGCAAAUAGAUCUGAUCAGACCAGAUUAUAAUUGAUCCGAAUCCUUGAUUGGAUCCUAUUGCUGGACUCAGAUCCAAACCCAAUAGAAGAUCAAGAUAAAUCGGAUCGGUUCUAUAGUUAAAAUUUUUGACCUAACAGAUCAUUUAGAAUGGAUUGGAUCUAGCUAUAAUCCGAUUCCAAUCCGAAAAUUUCGAAUAUAUCUGAGUCAAAUAUAUAGCCAACUAUAUUUGAAUUAUCAUAUAGCCCA